Passer domesticus (house sparrow) is the source of this 3479-nucleotide long non-coding RNA. RefSeq lists it as uncharacterized. Lineage: Eukaryota; Metazoa; Chordata; Aves; Passeriformes; Passeridae. The transcript has 3 exons. The record is from RefSeq and is a predicted model, not a curated record.
ACUGACUGCUGGAACUGUGGAGUAAAAAUUAUAAAAUUGGAUAUUAAGAUCAUUUGCGGUAGAAUAUUUUAUGUCUGUGGCUGUCCCAAAACAAAUCAAUACAACUAUCUGCCCUUCAUAAGAAAGAUGCAAUCAAUGAACAGAUAAGCUUUUGAGUAUUAUUACGUUUCAACAGGUACUUUUAUUGCAAUUUGGUGAAGGAAAAACUCUUGACAUGAAAGUUAACUCAAAUUUUAAUUUUCAAUUCAUAUAUUCAAAUCAACCCUUUUUCCAAUAUUUAAUCAUUAUAUGUGCAUUUACCAGGGACAGACUUUACUAGGCUUCAUGUUAAUUGUGAAGCUGGCCUGUUUGCUCUUAACACAAGCUGUGCUUUAACUCCCAUUGUUUCUAGCAAAGACUGACAGUGUCAUCUGAUGAGUCAAGCAGAAUGACACGGCACUUCAGGCAGAUUUAGCCAGCAUUUCAACAAGUUGAGAGCUGGACUGUUGUGUUUGUUUCAGUGCCUCUCUUCAACUUCCUUGAGGAGUGUGGUGGGUUAAAACAACUCAGCACUCAUUUAAACUGUUCUAUUUCUCUCAUGUGACUGAAAAAUAAGUUAGAGAAUGAAAACCUAGGCUGUUCCCAGAGUACCAAAGAAACCGAAAGAUGCAAUAACUUUAUUUCUGAUCUACAUUAUUUACUAUAAGUAAAUACUACUAUAAGUAGUAUUUGUGCUAAAGCCACUGUUCAUGCCCAAAGGUCCAUUAGUAAGAGAGCAAAUCAAAACAAAAUGUUUGAGUUUCCCACAGAAAUUGGUCUAAGAACUAUGUCAUCAACCAGAGUAAUAUAAAAGCUUUUGGUUUGACAGGAUAUAUCACUGCCUUCCCACCUCACCGCAUGCUGGGACAUUGGGGUGUAUUUUGAUCUAGUCCCUGACGGAGUUGCAGCUCUCCAUGUCAUGCCCUCUUAGCAUUUUGCAGUUAGAAAUAGGAAAGCAACAUCUUCUGACAUCAGAAGUCAUCUCCAAUGGCUUUGUAGCUAAUUGUGACAGCGCUUACCCCACUCUGCAGUGUUCCUGAGCCAGGGAUGAACACUCAGCACUGCUGUAUCACUGAUGCCCUGUGCUACACACUCUGCUGUACGAAAAAGUCAUGACCCACUUGUACCUGCCCAGUUCUGAUACACCACUGCAGUCUGCAGAGCUCAACCAGUGGAUAUGCAGAUUUUGUCCGACAGACCUCACAAAUAAUCAUCCUUGUCUGUGCUUGAUUUCUUCUCUGCCUUCAAAAGGAACCCUACUGUAAUAGCCCUGGGUGAAUAUUAGAAUAUUCAGAGCUCAGCUACAUCUCUGACUCAACACAAUGACAUGAUAGUGAGCCACCAAGUUUUUUUGUUGCCUUCAAAUAGACAGGCACACAGACCACUUUAUAGAUUUCUGCCUUUUGGGCUAUAGCUUGGUCCCUGACUUUUGCAUAGAUUUGAUUUUCUUUUUCUUGAUAAGUUUGAAUUUAUAUGAGAAAAACAGCUGUGUUGCCUUGCGCUGCAACACAGUCCUAAAGAUUCAAUCAAUUUACACAAAUUGAGGGCACAAAUUUAGAAACUAUGAUAAAAUUGUAACAAAGUGUCAUAGGACCAAAUCCUCGCAUACUUUGGUGAUAUAAUUCCACAGACUUCAGAAAAUACUGGCUUAAGUUGAGAAUCAAUGCCUUGAUCAUGUUCUUCCACUCAGAGCAAGCGAAUGACUCACAGCAGUUAGCUUCACAAACAAAAUCACGUUUUGCAGUCACGAAUAAUUAGUGAUUAAGCUUCGGUGAUACAUUUGUUUAUCAUCUUGAUUCAAGAAUUUUAGCUAAAAUACUACUCUAUGGAGAUGAAAAUAUUUUUGCUUUUAUGGAACAUGCGAUAUGUACUUCAAGACAAUUUCAAGAGCCUGUGGUCUGAAUUGGUUCAAUGAAUUGGUCAGAAGAAGGAAAUAAAAGGACAUGUCUAAAAUGUGAGAUUUGAAAGAAUGUGAAAUUCCUGCAGCAAUUCUUAAAUUUUAUUCUUAGGUUAUUUGCCUGAUUUUCUUUAUCUAUCUCUUUUAUCUUUUCUCUCAUUUCACUUUCUUAUUCUAUUGUCAACUUUCUUUUGCAUAUGAAGGAGAAUGAUACAAAAUUUAGGGGGAAAAACUGUUACAUCAAAAAUAUUUUGAAUUGCUUUUCUAGUGGUUUAUAAUGAAAAAGAAAACAUUUCAAAAUUUUUUAUGCUUUCCAGUGUUCAGUUAAAAAACAUACUUUCUUUUUAUUCUUCUAUGUGACCAUUGUAUUCCUGGAUUUGUGGGCUCUCCUUAUCCAUGGCUGUCACUUUGUUUUUUCCCUGAUAUCCAUUUUCCUGAAAUCCUCCUGAAAAGUCUCUUAGCUUUCAGAUGAUGUGUGGCAGGUGAAUUGGUGGGGCAGAACUGCCAGAAACCUGAUGAUGGAAUUCUGAAUACAAAGUUUAAUAAGCAUGGAAAUACAAAGCUGUCAAGUGCAAUAUUUUACCAGAAUUUGUAACAUUUUAUUUUAGCACAGCAAGAUAACCAGGUGUGUAUCUUUUCCUUACAUUCACUUUUAUGCAAGAUGAGCAAAAAAAAGUGAGGUUUUUAGAAGUGGGUCUGAACAGAAGAUGGUAUCAGAUGUGCAAAUAUUUGAAAAAAAAGCAAAAUAACCAUGGCUGCAUCUAUAUUACUAAAUAAAAUAGAGCCAGGGAUCACUCUUUGGCCUUGAAGCCGAGGCACAAACUGACCAACACUGAGCCUCCCAUGGGUUCUACAUAUCACCCACCUAGGCCCAAUAUACUGUCAUUUUUAGAGCAGUUUUGUCAAUUUAGAGAUUCUGAAAUGUGAAUAGUUUGUCAUGAUUUCUAAGAUGAAGAUGGGGCAUGAGUUUCAUUGAUGCUUGGCAUGUAGGUGAAUAUAAGUAUUAAUGGGUUUAAAUUCUGAUGUUGGAAGAGCAUGGAAAGAGCUUGUUUGGGUUAUGUCUUGGUAGUGGAAACCUGUGUAAGGUAUUUUCUCUACUCAGGCCUGUGUUCCAAGACAGUGGGAGCUGGUCCUAAACUGUGUACAGAGCUUGAACAAUCAGCAAGACAUUGCUUGAGCCUGCUGGCCCUCUCUUUUUAUUCAGUAGUUGUUGUGUAGAGUGUAACACAGUCUAAAAAUACUUCCUCCCAAAAUCCAGGUGAAUUUGCUGGGGUAAAAGUUUGACCUAUCUGAUAGCACAAAACAUACUGCUAAAUGUCUUCCUGGGACUGUCCCAGGAAGAGCUUCUUCACCUAAAAAUCCACUUUCCAUUCUUCUGGGCCUACUCAGCUUUCAUUACUUCAUGGCUGUACAAAAAUCUAAUGAUGGUUUGAGGGAAUGCUACAUACCUCAGAACAGAGCACUCAGAUGUUGCUUCAUUUGCAGGGACUAUUCACUGGGAUUGAAUCUCAAGCUUUGUUCAUUUGAUACUGAACACUUUAUGAAUUGUUUUAAAUGAAUAACU